CGGGGUGUAGCGCAGUCUGGUAGCGCACUUGCUUUGGGAGCAAGAUGUCGGGGGUUCGAAUCCCUCCACCCCGA
This 74-nucleotide transfer RNA is filed under the name Burkholderiales bacterium. RNAcentral's name for it is "tRNA-Pro". It matches the Rfam family "tRNA". Rfam says of the family: Transfer RNA (tRNA) molecules are approximately 80 nucleotides in length. Lineage: Bacteria; Pseudomonadati; Pseudomonadota; Betaproteobacteria; Burkholderiales. The record is from RNAcentral. RNAcentral also lists the same sequence under 4 other names.